This is a non-coding RNA of Marchantia paleacea, 72 nucleotides long. The record is from the annotation of a GenBank genome assembly. Lineage: Eukaryota; Viridiplantae; Streptophyta; Marchantiopsida; Marchantiales; Marchantiaceae.
CCGUUUGUAGUCCAACGGUUAGGAUAAUUGCCUUCCGAGCAAAUGAUCUAGGUUCAAAUUUCGACACAUGCA